This 57-nucleotide transfer RNA is filed under the name Akysis prashadi. RNAcentral describes it as "partial tRNA-Ser". The record is from RNAcentral. Lineage: Eukaryota; Metazoa; Chordata; Actinopteri; Siluriformes; Akysidae.
AAAGAGACAAGACAGUAGUAAGGACUGCUAAUCCUUUACCCCCGUGGUUUAAUUCCC